Molecule: ribosomal RNA, 406 nt
Filed under: uncultured bacterium
Lineage: Bacteria
Description: partial 16S ribosomal RNA
Rfam family: Bacterial small subunit ribosomal RNA
Source: RNAcentral
AUUGAACGCUGGCGGCAGGCCUAACACAUGCAAGUCGAACGAGUGGCGGACGGGUGAGUAAUGUCUGGGAAACUGCCUGAUGGAGGGGGAUAACUACUGGACACGGUAGCUAAUACCGCAUACCAUCGGAUGUGCCCAGAUGGGAUUAGCUAGUAGUGAGGGUAACGGCUCACCUAGGCGACGAUCCCUAGCUGGUCUGAGAGGAUGAACAGCCACACUGGAACUGAGACACGGUCCAGACGCCUACGAGCGGCAGCAGGGGGGAAUAUUGCACAAGGGGCGCAAGCCUGAUGCAGCCAUGCCGCGUGUAUGAAGAAGGCCUUCGGGUUGUAAAGUACUUUCAGCGGGGAGGCGUUACCCGCAGAAGAAGCACCGGCUAACUCCGUGCCAGCAGCCGCGGUAAUAC